AGCAACAUCACUUGGCAGCAGUGCCAGAAGCUCUUUCAGUAAAGAAUCCACUCAGGCUGCAUAAUGAAGAAGGGAUGUUCUGGCUUGAUUGCCUGCAGGACCACUGCAGUAUCAGGUCUGUAACACUGCCAUGGAAGAGUGCUGGACCUCUCAGCCAGGCAUGACAAUCUUGAACCAAGAGAACAAGCCCACACCUAGUCAGAAAUCUGAUUGCUGUAUGAGAGGAGCUCAGAUGCAUUUAUACAUGUCUACAAAAGCAGUUUGGAGCUUGUGUAGCAGUCAGUGAGAAGACAAUGGAUGUUGAUUUCUACAGAAAGAAAAAUAUGCUUCUAUUAAAUAUAUGUCAUCUGAUCAAAAUUUGAGACAAGACGAAGCAAUCUAAGAGCAGGAAAGUUGACUAAUCUAUUUCAGACUUUUUGACAUGGGUUUUUUUUAAUAUACUCAUUUUUAUUUCAAUUUUCAUAAGUGUGAUUAGAGAGAAGAUGUAUUUUGCCCUUUUAUUUUGAAAAAUGUGUCCACAUAAGUGAAUGAUUAAAAUAGUCAUGCUAUUUUAAGACUAUUAUUUUUUUAGAAAAUGAGGAACGUGUCAAUGUGUGUGCAUCUAUGUGCAUGCUCAUGGUUUCACACAGACAUCUGUACAGAAAAAAGGGAAUGUAUGCAAGCAGUGAAAAUUUUUAGAAGGAUUUAUGCUUUGUCCUAUUGUACUCCAACAAUUUUGUGGGAAUCUUGUUCUCAGCAGGAGUCAGCAAUUAUCUCUCAUUUAUCUGUUAGAUAUUGAAAGAAACUACUGCCUUUCCUUGUCUUGUGCUUGACUCA
Molecule: long non-coding RNA, 816 nt
Organism: Passer domesticus (house sparrow)
Lineage: Eukaryota; Metazoa; Chordata; Aves; Passeriformes; Passeridae
Exons: 3
Source: RefSeq, a predicted model, not a curated record